GGAGGAAAGCAGGGGAUCGCAAGACCUUGCGCUUUUGGAGCGGCCGAUGUCUGAUUAGCUAGUUGGUGAGGUAAAGGCUUACCAAGGCUUCGAUCAGUAGCUGGUCUGAGAGGACGACCAGCCACACUGGGACUGAGACACGGCCCAGACUCCUACGGGAGGCAGCAGUGGGGAAUUUUGGACAAUGGGGGAAACCCUGAUCCAGCCAUGCCGCGUGAGUGAAGAAGGCCUUCGGGUUGUAAAGCUCUUUCAGCCGGAACGAAAAGGUUACGGUUAAUACCCGUGACUAAUGACGGUACCGGAAGAAGAAGCACCGGCUAACUACGUGCCAGCAGCCGCGGUAAUACGUAGGGUGCGAGCGUUAAUCGGAAUUACUGGGCGUAAAGCGUGCGCAGGCGGUUUUGUAAGUCAGAUGUGAAAUCCCCGGGCUCAACCUGGGAACUGCGUUUGAAACUACAAAGCUAG
Molecule: ribosomal RNA, 465 nt
Filed under: uncultured beta proteobacterium
Lineage: Bacteria; Pseudomonadati; Pseudomonadota; Betaproteobacteria
Description: bacterial SSU rRNA
Rfam family: Bacterial small subunit ribosomal RNA
Source: RNAcentral